This 460-nucleotide ribosomal RNA is filed under the name uncultured bacterium. Its description in RNAcentral is "partial 16S ribosomal RNA". It matches the Rfam family "Bacterial small subunit ribosomal RNA", at positions 338 to 795 of the family's 1533-position model. The record is from RNAcentral.
CCUACGGGUGGCAGCAGUGAGGAAUAUUGGUCAAUGGCCGAGAGUCUGAACCAGCCAAGUCGCGUGAGGGAAGACGGCCCUACGGGUUGUAAGCUUCUUUUGUAGGGGAGCAAAACGUGCCCCGUGUGAGCAUUUGAACGUAACCUAAGAAUAAGGCUCGGCUAACUCCGUGCCCGCAGCCGCGGUAAUACGGAGGAUGCGAGCGUUAUCCGGGUUUAUUGGGGUUAAAGGGUGCGUAGGGGGAAGGUGAAGUCAGUGGUGAAAGUGCGGGGCUCAACCCCAGGAUUGCAGUUGAAACUGGCAGGCUUGAGUGCAGGAGAGGUAUGCGGAAUGCGUGGUGUAGCGGUGAAAUGCAUAGAUAUCAGGCAGAACACCGAUUGCGAAGGCAGCUUACCGGACUGCAACUGACGCUGAGGCUCGAAAGCGUGGGGAGCAAACAGGAUUAGAUACCCUUGUAGUC